UACGUAGGGGGCAAGCGUUAUCCGGAUUUACUGGGUGUAAAGGGAGCGCAGACGGAACUGCAAGUCUGAUGUGAAAGCCCGGGGCUCAACCGCGGGACUGCAUCGGAUACUGUGGAUCUGGAGUGCCGGAGGGGCAAGCGGAAUUCCUGGUGUAGCGGUGAAAUGCGUAGAUAUCAGGAGGAACACCGGCGGCGAAGGCGGCUUGCUGGACGGCAACUGACGUUGAGGCUCGAAAGCGUGGGGAGCAAACAGG
This 253-nucleotide ribosomal RNA is filed under the name uncultured bacterium. RNAcentral describes it as "partial 16S ribosomal RNA". It matches the Rfam family "Bacterial small subunit ribosomal RNA", at positions 524 to 776 of the family's 1533-position model. The record is from RNAcentral.